This 890-nucleotide unclassified non-coding RNA is filed under the name Hevea brasiliensis (rubber tree). Lineage: Eukaryota; Viridiplantae; Streptophyta; Magnoliopsida; Malpighiales; Euphorbiaceae. The record is from RNAcentral.
AAUUUAUGAUAGAAUCAAGUAAUUUGAUUAAUAAAAGCUUCCACAUAUCCCCAACCAUCAUCAAUAUCAGGUUCCACCCAAUAAUCAAUUUUUAUUUCGCGAGUACAAGACCUUAUAUUCAUACAACCAGUAACAAGUUUACCCAAAUGAUCUAAGCGAGUCAAAUAUCCACAGCAACUCCUGGGGAAAAUAUAUCUCUACUUUAUGGGCAAAAUGCAGGAAGGUUGGUUGCUGCAAACAAUUAUAAAACAAAACAUAAAAGACCUUGGAAGUUCAGUGCAAAUUUACUUGUCUUUAUGCUUACAGUGACAUCAGAAAUCUAUCGAUUUUUGCUUUAACCUUGGAACUAGAUUUUGUUUUAUAAACAAAAUAUUUAUUAAUCAAAAGUCAGGAAAAAUUUAGCAUGAGAUACUCAAUUUAUACCCAACCAAUAGGUCUCCUCGCAAAAAUCAACCUAGAAGGAAUCAUGCUAAGUGAAAAAAUCUGGCAAAAGGAGUGCAAACCAAACAAGAAACAACCAACAAAGAAACUGAAUUAAAGAAAAACACAACAAAACCCCAGGCAUCUCGCCAAUGUGCUUCUGUGCAUUUGAUCAUUGGCUAGCUAUGAUAUACUUGAUUCAAACAAUGAAGGACAUGAACAUCAAAAUUUUCAUGGACUUCUGGCUGUCAUUCUGAUAUUAAACUUUAUAAAAUUCCAUGGUCAAUGCAUUAAGAACAAAUUUUGAAGUGCUAAAUUCCAAAUCCAAAUAUUAAGAGUUACUUCUAAAAUAUAAAUUAUGGAAACAUGAUAAAUCUGAAAUAUAACCUGUAACUUAAUAUCAUGAAUAUGAUGUUUAUCUGGCAGGAAGCACAUAAAGAUAAUAAAACAAGAAGAUUAAGAAAGAAUAC